CCUACGGGUGGCAGCAGUAGGGAAUAUUGGACAAUGGGGGGAACCCUGAUCCAGCAACGCCGCGUGGGGGAAGAAGUAUUUCGGAUUGUAAAGCUCUAUCGGCAGGGAAGAAAAUGACGGUACCUAACGAAUAAGCACCGGCUAACUCCGUGCCAGCAGCCGCGGUAAUACGUAGGGGGCAAGCGUUAUUCGGAUUUACUGGGUGUAAAGAGAGCGUAGGCGGGGUAGCAAGUCCGAUGUGAAAGGUCAGGGCUUAACCCCAGGACUGCAUUUGAAACUGUUGAACUGGAGUACAGGAGAGGUAAGUGGAAUUCCUAGUGUAGGGGUGAAAUCCGUAGAGAUCAGGAGGAAUACUAGUGGCGAAGGCGGCUUACUAGAACGUAACUGACGCUGAGGCGCGAAAGCGUGGGGAGCAAACAGGAUUAGAUACCCUAGUAGUC
Molecule: ribosomal RNA, 440 nt
Filed under: uncultured bacterium
Lineage: Bacteria
Description: partial 16S ribosomal RNA
Rfam family: Bacterial small subunit ribosomal RNA
Source: RNAcentral